Molecule: ribosomal RNA, 425 nt
Filed under: uncultured bacterium
Lineage: Bacteria
Description: partial 16S ribosomal RNA
Rfam family: Bacterial small subunit ribosomal RNA
Source: RNAcentral
GUGAGGAAUUUUGCGCAAUGGGGGCAACCCUGACGCAGCGACGCCGCGUGGAGGACGAAGUCUUUCGGGAUGUAAACUCCUGUCAGUGGGGACGAUAAUGACGGUACCCACAGAGGAAGCACCGGCUAACUCCGUGCCAGCAGCCGCGGUAAGACGGAGGGUGCAAGCGUUGUUCGGAAUUACUGGGCGUAAAGCGUACGUAGGCGGCAAGUUAAGUUCAAUGUUAAAGCCCACGGCUCAACCGAGGAGAUGCAUUGAAUACUGGCUAGCUAGAGGGUGUUAGAGGAAGACGGAAUUCCCAGUGUAGCGGUGAAAUGCGUAGAUAUUGGGAGGAACAUCGGUAGCGAAAGCGGUCUUCUGGGACACACCUGACGCUGAGGUACGAAAGCGUGGGGAGCAAACGGGAUUAGAAACCCUUGUAGUCC